RNAcentral lists this ribosomal RNA (596 nucleotides) under Francisella tularensis. Its description in RNAcentral is "partial 23S ribosomal RNA". It matches the Rfam family "Bacterial large subunit ribosomal RNA", at positions 799 to 1397 of the family's 2925-position model. The record is from RNAcentral. Lineage: Bacteria; Pseudomonadati; Pseudomonadota; Gammaproteobacteria; Thiotrichales; Francisellaceae.
AUGGGAUGAGCUGUGGAUCGGAGUGAAAGGCUAAUCAAGCACGGAGAUAGCUGGUUCUCCCCGAAAACUAUUUAGGUAGUGCCUCGUGUAUAACUCAUUGGGGUAAAGCACUGUUUCGACAAUGGGGGUUUUACGACCUUACUGACUCGAUGCAAACUCAGAAUACGAUGAAGUUCGAUCACGGGAGACACACUGCGGGUGCUAAGGUCCGCAGUGGAAAGGGAAACAGCCCAGACCGCCAACUAAGGUCCCAAAGUCAUAGCUAAGUGGGAAACGAAGUGGGAAGGCCCAGACAGCCAGGAGGUUGGCUUAGAAGCAGCCACCCUUUAAAGAAAGCGUAAUAGCUCACUGGUCGAGUCGGCCUGCACGUAAGAUUUAACGGGGCUAAGCUAUGCACUGAAGUUGCGGAAUAUAUUUAGUAUAUUGGUAGGGGAGCGUUCUGUAAGCCGAUGAAGGUGAAUUGAGAAGUUUGCUGGAGGUAUCAGAAGUGCGAAUGCUGACAUGAGUAACGUAAAAUAAGUGAGAUUCUUAUUGGCCGAAAACCCAAGGGUUCCUACGCAAUGUUAAUCAACGUAGGGUAAGCCGGCCCCUAAGGC